This 941-nucleotide ribosomal RNA is filed under the name uncultured organism. RNAcentral describes it as "bacterial SSU rRNA". It matches the Rfam family "Bacterial small subunit ribosomal RNA", at positions 465 to 1404 of the family's 1533-position model. The record is from RNAcentral.
GGGGUUGACGGUACCCUACUAGAAAGGAGCCGCUAACUUCGUGCCAGAAGCGUCGGUAAUACGGGGGCUCCAAGCGUUAUCCGGUGUUAUUGGGCGUAAAGAGUCGUGUAGGUGGUUGGGUAAGUUAUCUUUCAAAUAUCUUUGCUUAACAAAGAGGAGGGGGAUAAUACUGCUCGACUAGAAUUUUCUCAAGGGAGAUCGGAACUGAGGGAGGAGUAGUGAAAUGCGUUGAUACCCUCGGGAACACCAGUGGCGUAGGCGGAUCUCUGGGAGAAGAUUGACACUGAGACACGAAAGCUAGGGGAGCGAAGCAGAUUAGAGACCUGCGUAGUCCUAGCCGUAAACGCAUGCUUGCUAGCUGCAUGAAUCUACCUUCGGGUGGUAUCGUGUGGCGAAGGUAACCCGUUAAGCAAGCCGCCUGGAAAGUACGGCCGCAAGGCUGAAAUUCAAAGGAAUUGGCGGGGAGGCACACAACCAGUGAAACAUGUGGUUUAAUUCGAGACUAACCGAAGAACCUCACCAGGGUUUGACAUGUAGCUGCACGUCUUAAGAAAUUAAGACUCUCUUGAAGGUGCUACACAGGUGCUGCAUGGCUGUCGUCAGCUCGUUCCGUGAGGAGUGCCCUUAAGUGGGACAACGAGCGCAACCCCUAUUACAUGUUAGAAAUGUCAUGUAAGACUGCCUUGCCAUUUGGCGGGGAGGAAGGAGGGGCAGACGUCAAGUCCGCAUGGUCCUUAUGCCCUGGGCUACACACAUGUUACAAUGAGUACGGCAAUGAGUCUGUCGCGAGCACGUAAGUGUAAGCUAAUCUCUUAAAUGUACUCUCAGUGGGGAUUGAGGUCUGCAACUCGACCUCAUGAACACGGAAUUGGUAGUAAUCGCGGGUCAGCUAUACCGCGGUGAUACGUUCUUGCCUCUUGCACACACCGCCCGUCAAACCA